This 397-nucleotide ribosomal RNA is filed under the name uncultured bacterium. RNAcentral's name for it is "partial 16S ribosomal RNA". It matches the Rfam family "Bacterial small subunit ribosomal RNA", at positions 523 to 918 of the family's 1533-position model. The record is from RNAcentral.
AUACGUAGGGGGCGAGCGUUGUCCGGAAUGAUUGGGCGUAAAGGGCGCGUAGGCGGCGCGGUAAGUCUGGAGUGAAAGUCUUGCUUUCAAGGUGGGAAUUGCUUUGGAUACUGCCGCGCUUGAGUGCAGGAGAGGUUAUCGGAAUUCCCGGUGUAGCGGUGAAAUGCGUAGAGAUCGGGAGGAACACCAGUGGCGAAGGCGGGUAACUGGACUGCAACUGACGCUGAGGCGCGAAAGUGUGGGGAGCAAACAGGAUUAGAUACCCUGGUAGUCCACACUGUAAACGAUGAAUGCUAGGUGUAAGAGGUAUCGACCCCUUUUGUGCCGGAGUCAACACAAUAAGCAUUCCGCCUGGGGAGUACGGCCGCAAGGUUGAGACUCAAAGGAAUUGACGGGG